Molecule: ribosomal RNA, 488 nt
Filed under: Uroplatus fangorn
Lineage: Eukaryota; Metazoa; Chordata; Lepidosauria; Squamata; Gekkonidae
Description: partial 12S ribosomal RNA
Rfam family: Bacterial small subunit ribosomal RNA
Source: RNAcentral
ACCAGCUUGAAACUCAAAGGACUUGACAGUAUCUCACAUACACCUAGAGGAGCCUGUCCUAUAAUCGAUAACCCACGAUCAACCUCACCAGCCUUUGCACAAACCAGCCUAUAUACCUCCGUCGCCAGUCCGCCUGCUAACAGCUGCCAAAGCGCACAUACCAGCUAACCACUCACACGACAGGUCAAGGUGUAGCUAAUGGGCCGGGCAGAGAUGGGCUACAUUUUCCUCGCUAGAAAACACCCACCGUGCCAUGAAAACCGCACAAGAAGGAGGAUUUAGCAGUAAGAUGGGUAAGGUAUACCCCCCUGAAGUUUACAAUGAGAUGUGUACACACCGCCCGUCACCCUCCUCAAAAAACACAUUUACCUAACUAAGUCUAACACAUAAUAAAGAUGAGGUAAGUCGUAACAUGGUAAGCGUACUGGAAAGUGCGCUUGGCCCAUCUUAAAGGUAGCUUAACUCAAAGCAUUAGGCUUACAACCAAA